CCCUUAGAUGUUCUGGGCCGCACGCGCGCUACACUGAUACGUUCAGCGAGUAUAUAACCUUGAUUGGAAAAUCUGGGUAAUCUUUUGAAUGCGUAUCGUGCUAGGGAUAGAUUAUUGCAAUUAUUAAUCUUGAACGAGGAAUUCCUAGUAAACGCAAGUCAUCAGCUUGCAUUGAUUACGUCCCUGCCCUUUGUACACACCGCCCGUCGCUACUACCGAUUGAAUGGCUUAGUGAGCCUUUGGGAUUGGCAGCUUGUACCGGCAACGGUAGCAGGCCGCUGAAAACUUAGGCAAACUUGGUCAUUUAGAGGAAGUAAAAGUCGUAACA
This 328-nucleotide ribosomal RNA is filed under the name uncultured eukaryote. Its description in RNAcentral is "partial 18S ribosomal RNA". It matches the Rfam family "Eukaryotic small subunit ribosomal RNA", at positions 1470 to 1796 of the family's 1831-position model. The record is from RNAcentral.